GAUGAACGCUGGCGGCGUGCUUAACACAUGCAAGUCGAACGAAGCACUUUAUUUGAUUUCCUUCGGGACUGAUUAUUUUGUGACUGAGUGGCGGACGGGUGAGUAACGCGUGGGUAACCUGCCUUGUACAGGGGGAUAACAGUUGGAAACGGCUGCUAAUACCGCAUAAGCGCACAGCAUCGCAUGAUGCAGUGUGAAAAACUCCGGUGUAUAAGAUGGACCCGCGUUGGAUUAGCUAGUUGGUGAGGUAACGGCCCACCAAGGCGACGAUCCAUAGCCGACCUGAGAGGGUGACCGGCCACAUUGGGACUGAGACACGGCCCAAACUCCUACGGGAGGCAGCAGUGGGGAAUAUUGCACAAUGGGCGAAAGCCUGAUGCAGCGACGCCGCGUGAGCGAAGAAGUAUUUCGGUAUGUAAAGCUCUAUCAGCAGGGAAGAUAAUGACGGUACCUGACUAAGAAGCACCGGCUAAAUACGUG
Molecule: ribosomal RNA, 480 nt
Filed under: uncultured bacterium
Lineage: Bacteria
Description: partial 16S ribosomal RNA
Rfam family: Bacterial small subunit ribosomal RNA
Source: RNAcentral